Molecule: unclassified non-coding RNA, 350 nt
Filed under: soil metagenome
Description: partial contains 5.8S ribosomal RNA, internal transcribed spacer 2, and large subunit ribosomal RNA
Rfam family: 5.8S ribosomal RNA (bases 1-120)
Source: RNAcentral
GAUGAAGAACGUAGCGAAAUGCGAUAAGUAAUGUGAAUUGCAGAAUUCAGUGAAUCAUCGAAUCUUUGAACGCACAUUGCGCCCGCCAGUAUUCUGGCGGGCAUGCCUGUUCGAGCGUCAUUACAACCCUCAGGCCCCGGGCCUGGCGUUGGGGAUCGGCGGAGCCCCCCGUGGGCACACGCCGUCCCCCAAAUACAGUGGCGGUCCGCCGCAGCUUCCAUCGCGUAGUAGCUAACACCUCGCGACUGGAGAGCGGCGCGGCCACGCCGUAAAACACCCAACUCUUCUGAAGUUGACCUCGAAUCAGGUAGGAAUACCCGCUGAACUUAAGAAUAUCAAUAAGCGGAGGA